RNAcentral lists this ribosomal RNA (506 nucleotides) under uncultured bacterium. RNAcentral's name for it is "partial 16S ribosomal RNA". It matches the Rfam family "Bacterial small subunit ribosomal RNA", at positions 30 to 523 of the family's 1533-position model. The record is from RNAcentral.
AUCGAACGCUGGCGGCAGGCUUAACACAUGCAAGUCGAGCGGUAACAGAGAGAAGCUUGCUUCUCUGCUGACGAGCGGCGGACGGGUGAGUAAUGCCUAGGAAUCUGCCUAGUAGUGGGGGAUAACUUGCCGAAAGGUAAGCUAAUACCGCAUACGUCCUACGGGAGAAAGGAGGGGACCUUCGGGCCUUUCGCUAUUAGAUGAGCCUAGGUCGGAUUAGUUAGUUGGGGAGGUAAUGGCUCACCAAGACCGCGAUCCGUAACUGGUCUGAGAGGAUGAUCAGUCACACUGGAACUGAGACACGGUCCAGACUCCUACGGGAGGCAGCAGUGGGGAAUAUUGGACAAUGGGGGGAACCCCGAUCCAGCCAUGCCGCGUGUGUGAAGAAGGUCUUAGGAUUGUAAAGCACUUUAAGUUGGGAGGAAGAGCAGUUAACUAAUAUUUGACUGUUUUGACGUUACCGACAGAAUAAGCACCGGCUAACUUCGUGCCAGCAGCCGCCGUAA